Molecule: long non-coding RNA, 363 nt
Filed under: Androctonus crassicauda
Lineage: Eukaryota; Metazoa; Arthropoda; Arachnida; Scorpiones; Buthidae
Source: RNAcentral
CAUCUGCUCUUGUGAAUUACUAACAUUCAUGGGUGCAGCCAUCUUGAAACAACAUGUUGGAUAGUAGCGUAAAUGAAAUCCGCUACCAAACGUGGCAUCACUCACUCAACGUGUUCGAUAGUAGCGCUACCUUGAAGACACGUUCAACAGAAAAUCUCUCAACUGUUCCACAACAGUUGAGUCUGCAGAACGCAGCCAAUAUUAAUAUCAAAAUUAUAUCCAUUGCUACUGUUAUUACAAUAUAUAAACAAAAGUACUACAUUAGGAAUGGGUUAAACACAAAUUUAAUUAAACAAAUACUUUCGGUUUUAUAAAGCAAACCCUCUUCAGUUGCAUUCCACUCUCACUGGGGGGGGGUCGGUC